AUCAAUGGAGGCCCUAAGCUGCUCUGCUUCAUCUUCAAUGUUUAAAUCUGUGGAUGUGUUGUAUGCAGAAAUUUCACAUCAAUUUUAAGCCGAACACACAUAAUGUCCUUUAGUUCCACCGAAGAAUCAAAAGAAGUCUUCACAUUUUCCGUUUCUCGUGAACCAAACAAAGAUUAAGUGAUUAGGGAGCAAGGAGAGACGUUUAGCUUCUAGCGAAAGGCGUCAUAGGAAUCUAGAGGAGGAUGAGCCAACGGAGGCUGCCUCUGGAGGAGCUUUGAUCGGAGAAGAGUGAUUGCUACUGCGAGCUUCAGCGACUUGUCGCUCGUCGAUGCAGCAGCCAGCUUUGGCGUUUGGUGCUUGUUCGUUGGAGCCCAUUAUCUUGACAAGUAUAAUUGACGCGCAAGAUCAUUGGGCUUUCUCCCGUGCAAAAGUAAAAUUUGAACUCUGCCGUUGUUCAUAAGCCACUUCUACUGGCAAGUCAAACUGCUAUGCCGAAUAAAUAAAUAAUUAAUUUAAGGUUUCUCGGUUGGUUUCGCCGGCUUGAUGGUUGGGAUCAAUUCUGAUUCGAAAAGGUUUUAAUGUAUAAUGAUUUUGGUUCAAAACGAUUUCAAUACUGAUUCGG
RNAcentral lists this unclassified non-coding RNA (622 nucleotides) under Hevea brasiliensis (rubber tree). Lineage: Eukaryota; Viridiplantae; Streptophyta; Magnoliopsida; Malpighiales; Euphorbiaceae. The record is from RNAcentral.